Molecule: microRNA precursor, 117 nt
Filed under: Pelobates cultripes (western spadefoot toad)
Lineage: Eukaryota; Metazoa; Chordata; Amphibia; Anura; Pelobatidae
Source: RNAcentral
AUGUCUGUCUGUGUGAGUGUCAGUAUGUCUGCCAGUAUAUAUUUAAGUGUCAGUGUAUACACUGACACAUAUACCGACACACAAAUAUAUACUGGCAGACAUAUUGACACACACAUA